AGGUAAGCUACUAAGAGCGAAUGGUGGAUGCCUUGACUGGUAAAGGCGAUGAAGGACGUACUAGACUGCGAUAAGCUACGGGGAGCUGUCAAGAAGCUUUGAUCCGUAGAUUUCCGAAUGGGGCAACCCAAUGUAUAGAGAUAUACAUUACCUAUAUAGGAGCGAACGAGGGGAAUUGAAACAUCUUAGUACCCUCAGGAAAAGAAAUCAAUAGAGAUUGCGUCAGUAGCGGCGAGCGAAAGCGUAAGAGGGCAAACCCAGUGCUUGCACUGGGGGUUGUAGGACUGCAAUGUGCAAGAGGUGAGUUUAGCAGAACAUUCUGGAAAGUAUAGCCAUAGAGGGUGAUAGUCCCGUAUGCGAAAAACAAACCUUAGCUAGCAGUAUCCUGAGUAGGGCGGGACACGAGAAAUCCUGUCUGAAGCUGGGUCGACCACGAUCCAACCCUAAAUACUAAUACCAGAUCGAUAGUGCACAAGUACCGUGAGGGAAAGGUGAAAAGAACUGAGGUGAUCAGAGUGAAAUAGAACCUGAAACCAUUUGCUUACAAUCAUUCAGAGCACUAUGUAGCAAUACAGUGUGAUGGACUGCCUUUUGCAUAAUGAGCCUGCGAGUUGUGGUGUCUGGCAAGGUUAAGCAAACGUGAAGCCGUAGCGAAAGCGAGUCUGAAUAGGGCGCUUAGUCAGAUGCUGCAGACCCGAAACGAAGUGAUCUAUCCAUGAGCAAGUUGAAGCUAGUGUAAGAACUAGUGGAGGACUGAACCCAUAGGCGUUGAAAAGCCCCGGGAUGACUUGUGGAUAGGGGUGAAAGGCCAAUCAAACUUCGUGAUAGCUGGUUCUCUCCGAAAUAUAUUUAGGUAUAGCGUUGUGUCGUAAUAUAAGGGGGUAGAGCACUGAAUGGGCUAGGGCAUACACCAAUGUACCAAACCCUAUCAAACUCCGAAUACCUUAUAUGUAAUCACAGCAGUCAGGCGGCGAGUGAUAAAAUCCGUCGUCAAGAGGGAAACAACCCAGACUACCAGCUAAGGUCCCUAAAUCUUACUUAAGUGGAAAACGAUGUGAAGUUACUUAAACAACCAGGAGGUUGGCUUAGAAGCAGCCAUCCUUUAAAGAAAGCGUAAUAGCUCACUGGUCUAGUGAUUUUGCGCGGAAAAUAUAACGGGGCUAAAGUAAGUACCGAAGCUGUAGACUUGAUUUUAUCAAGUGGUAGGAGAGCGUUCUAUUUGCGUCGAAGGUAUACCGGUAAGGAGUGCUGGAGCGAAUAGAAGUGAGCAUGCAGGCAUGAGUAGCGAUAAUUAAUGUGAGAAUCAUUAACGCCGUAAACCCAAGGUUUCCUACGCGAUGCUCGUCAUCGUAGGGUUAGUCGGGUCCUAAGUCGAGUCCGAAAGGGGUAGACGAUGGCAAAUUGGUUAAUAUUCCAAUACCAACAUUAGUGUGCGAUGGAAGGACGCUUAGGGCUAAGGGGGCUAGCGGAUGGAAGUGCUAGUCUAAGGUCGUAGGAGGUUAUACAGGCAAAUCCGUAUAACAUACUCCGAGAACUGAAAGGCUUUUUGAAGUCUUCGGAUGGAUAGAAGAACCCCUGAUGCCGUCGAGCCAAGAAAAGUUUCUAAGUUUAGCUAAUGUUGCCCGUACCGUAAACCGACACAGGUGGGUGGGAUGAGUAUUCUAAGGCGCGUGGAAGAACUCUCUUUAAGGAACUCUGCAAAAUAGCACCGUAUCUUCGGUAUAAGGUGUGGUUCGCUUCGUAUUAGGAUUUACUCCGAAAGCGAAGAAACUUACAACAAAGAGUCCCUCCCGACUGUUUACCAAAAACACAGCACUCUGCUAACUCGUAAGAGGAUGUAUAGGGUGUGACGCCUGCCCGGUGCUCGAAGGUUAAUUGAUGGGGUUAGCAUUAGCGAAGCUCUUGAUCGAAGCCCGAGUAAACGGCGGCCGUAACUAUAACGGUCCUAAGGUAGCGAAAUUCCUUGUCGGUUAAAUACCGACCUGCAUGAAUGGCGUAACGAGAUGGGAGCUGUCUCAAAGAGGGAUCCAGUGAAAUUGUAGUGGAGGUGAAAAUUCCUCCUACCCGCGGCAAGACGGAAAGACCCCGUGGACCUUUACUAUAACUUGACACUGCUAUUUGGAUAAGAAUGUGCAGGAUAGGUGGGAGGCUUUGAUUAUAUGACGUCAGUUGUAUAGGAGCCAUUGUUGAGAUACCACUCUUUCUUAUUUGGGUAGCUAACUAGCCUAAGUUAUCCUUAGGUAGGACAAUGUCUGGUGGGUAGUUUGACUGGGGCGGUCGCCUCCCAAAUAAUAACGGAGGCUUACAAAGGUUGGCUCAGAACGGUUGGAAAUCGUUCGUAGAGUAUAAAGGUAUAAGCCAGCUUAACUGCAAGACAUACAAGUCAAGCAGAGACGAAAGUCGGUCUUAGUGAUCCGGUGGUUCUGUGUGGAAGGGCCAUCGCUCAAAGGAUAAAAGGUACCCCGGGGAUAACAGGCUGAUCUCCCCCAAGAGCUCACAUCGACGGGGAGGUUUGGCACCUCGAUGUCGGCUCAUCGCAUCCUGGGGCUGGAGCAGGUCCCAAGGGUAUGGCUGUUCGCCAUUUAAAGCGGUACGCGAGCUGGGUUCAGAACGUCGUGAGACAGUUCGGUCCCUAUCUGCCGUGGGCGUAAGAAGAUUGAAGAGAUUUGACCCUAGUACGAGAGGACCGGGUUGAACAAACCACUGGUGUAGCUGUUGUUCUGCCAAGAGCAUCGCAGCGUAGCUAAGUUUGGAAAGGAUAAACGCUGAAAGCAUCUAAGCGUGAAGCCAACUCUAAGAUGAAUCUUCUCUAAGCUCUCUAGAAGACUACUAGUUUGAUAGGCUGGGUGUGUAAUGGAUGAAAGUCCUUUAGCUGACCAGUACUAAUAGAGCGUUUGGCUUAUCUUU
This 2907-nucleotide ribosomal RNA is filed under the name Campylobacter coli. Its description in RNAcentral is "23S ribosomal RNA". It matches the Rfam family "Bacterial large subunit ribosomal RNA". The record is from RNAcentral. Lineage: Bacteria; Pseudomonadati; Campylobacterota; Epsilonproteobacteria; Campylobacterales; Campylobacteraceae.